AUUGAACGCUGGCGGCAUGCCUUACACAUGCAAGUCGAACGGCAGCACGGGGCAACCUGGUGGCGAGUGGCGAACGGGUGAGUAAUGCAUCGGAACGUACCUUUCAGUGGGGGAUAACGUAGCGAAAGUUACGCUAAUACCGCAUAUUCUGUGAGCAGGAAAGCAGGGGAUCGCAAGACCUUGCGCUGAUUGAGCGGCCGAUGUCAGAUUAGCUAGUUGGUGAGGUAAAGGCUCACCAAGGCGACGAUCUGUAGCGGGUCUGAGAGGAUGAUCCGCCACACUGGAAGUGGUAGACGGGCCAGACUCCUACGGGGGGCAGGCGUGGGGAAUUUUGGACAAUGGGGGCAACCCUGAUCCAGCCAUGCCGCGUGAGUGAAGAAGGCCUUCGGAUUGUAAAGCUCAUUCGGCCGGGAAGAAAUCGCACGGGCUAAUACCCUGUGUGGAUGACGGUACCGGAAUAAGAAGCACCGGCUAACUACGUGCCAGCCGCCGCCGUAA
This 498-nucleotide ribosomal RNA is filed under the name uncultured bacterium. Its description in RNAcentral is "partial 16S ribosomal RNA". It matches the Rfam family "Bacterial small subunit ribosomal RNA", at positions 30 to 523 of the family's 1533-position model. The record is from RNAcentral.